This 325-nucleotide ribosomal RNA is filed under the name uncultured eukaryote. RNAcentral's name for it is "partial 18S ribosomal RNA". It matches the Rfam family "Eukaryotic small subunit ribosomal RNA", at positions 1470 to 1796 of the family's 1831-position model. The record is from RNAcentral.
CCCUUAGAUGUUCUGGGCCGCACGCGCGCUACACUGUUCGACGCAGCGAGUCUUAACCUUGACCGAAAGGUUUGGGUAAUCUUCAGCAAAGUCGAACGUGAUGGGGAUCGAUCAUUGCAAUUAUUGAUCGUGAACGAGGAAUUCCUAGUAAGUGCAAGUCAUCAGCUUGCGCUGAUUACGUCCCUGCCCUUUGUACACACCGCCCGUCGCUACUACCGAUUGAGUGGUCCGGUGAAUUAUUCGGACCGGUGGACUGUGGGGAAACCCGCGGCCUGCUGGGAAGUCUUGUGAACCUUAUCACUUAGAGGAAGCAGAAGUCGUAACA